UGAGCAAUCUACCCUUGUGCGGGGGAUAACCCGGGGAAACCCGGGCUAAUACCGCAUGUUUCGAGAGAGUGGAGUCACUCUUUUGGGAAACGUGGCCUCUUUACAAUGCUACGGCGCAGGGAGGAGCUCGCGGGCUAUCAGCUAGUUGGUGAGGUAACGGCUCACCAAGGCUUCGACGGGUAGCCGGCCUGAGAGGGCGACCGGCCACACUGGGACUGAGAUACGGCCCAGACUCCGUACGGGA
This 244-nucleotide ribosomal RNA is filed under the name uncultured bacterium. RNAcentral describes it as "partial 16S ribosomal RNA". It matches the Rfam family "Bacterial small subunit ribosomal RNA", at positions 118 to 346 of the family's 1533-position model. The record is from RNAcentral.